This 301-nucleotide ribosomal RNA is filed under the name uncultured bacterium. RNAcentral describes it as "partial 16S ribosomal RNA". It matches the Rfam family "Bacterial small subunit ribosomal RNA", at positions 509 to 807 of the family's 1533-position model. The record is from RNAcentral.
CAGCCGCCGCGGGAAUACAGAGGUCCCGAGCGUUGUUCGGAUUCACUGGGCGUAAAGGGUGUGUAGGAGGUUUGGUAAGUCAGGUGUGAAAUCCCGCAGCUUAACUGCGGAACUGCAUUCGAUACUGCUGAACUAGAGGCUUGGAGGGGGAAGCGGAAUUCUUGGUGUAGCGGUGAAAUGCGUAGAUAUCAAGAGGAACACCGGUGGCGAAGGCGGCUUCCUGGACAAGUCCUGACUCUGAAACACGAAAGCUAGGGGAGCGAAUGGGAUUAGAUACCCGGGUAGUCCCUGUCUCUUAUAC